Molecule: ribosomal RNA, 494 nt
Filed under: uncultured bacterium
Lineage: Bacteria
Description: partial 16S ribosomal RNA
Rfam family: Bacterial small subunit ribosomal RNA
Source: RNAcentral
GACGAACGCUGGCGGCGUGCUUAACACAUGCAAGUCGAACGGUGAAGCGCCUUCCUUUUUGGUGGGUGUGGAUGAGUGGCGAACGGGUGAGUAACACGUGAGUAACCUGCCCCCUUCUUCUGGAUAACCGCAUGAAAGUGUGGCUAAUACGGGAUAUUCUGGGUCUGUCGCAUGAUGGGUCUGGGAAAGAUAUUGUUUCGGUGGGGGAUGGGCUCGCGGCCUAUUAGCUUGUUGGUGGGGUGAUGGCCUACCAAGGCGGUGACGGGUAGCCGGCCUGAGAGGGUGGACGGUCACACUGGGACUGAGACACGGCCCAGACUCCUACGGGAGGCAGCAGUGGGGAAUAUUGCACAAUGGGCGCAAGCCUGAUGCAGCGACGCCGCGUGAGGGAUGGAGGCCUUCGGGUUGUGAACCUCUUUCGCCAGUGAAGCAGGCCUGCCUCGUUUGUGGGUGGGUUGACGGUAGCUGGAUAAGAAGCGCCGGCUAACUACGUG